UACGUAGGUCCCGAGCGUUGUCCGAAUUUAUUGGGCGUAAAGCGAGCGCAGGCGGUUUAAUAAGUCUGAAGUUAAAGGCAGUGGCUUAACCAUUGUUCGCUUUGGAAACUGUUAGACUUGAGUGCAGAAGGGGAGAGUGGAAUUCCAUGUGUAGCGGUGAAAUGCGUAGAUAUAUGGAGGAACACCGGUGGCGAAAGCGGCUCUCUGGUCUGUAACUGACGCUGAGGCUCGAAAGCGUGGGGAGCAAACAGG
RNAcentral lists this ribosomal RNA (252 nucleotides) under uncultured bacterium. RNAcentral describes it as "partial 16S ribosomal RNA". It matches the Rfam family "Bacterial small subunit ribosomal RNA", at positions 524 to 776 of the family's 1533-position model. The record is from RNAcentral.